This 408-nucleotide transfer-messenger RNA is filed under the name Candidatus Kaiserbacteria bacterium RIFOXYD1_FULL_47_14. It matches the Rfam family "transfer-messenger RNA". From Rfam's summary of the family: Bacterial tmRNA, also known as 10Sa RNA or SsrA, is named for its dual tRNA and mRNA-like properties. Lineage: Bacteria; Candidatus Kaiseribacteriota. RNAcentral also lists the same sequence under 1 other name. The record is from RNAcentral.
GGGGGUGACCGGCUUUGACGGUCUGUUCUUUGAAAGUCGUGCGACGCAGUGCACUCCUGUCCAACACUUAAAACUGACGGGAAAACAAACUUGCCAAGAACACUCUUGCAAGCGUGAAGUCGCCAUACUUCGGUAUGAAUGACUUCGCGUUCGCUUUCGCGAAAGCCUAACGGCUCUUCGCCGAGCGACGUCUCUAUCUCUCGUGUUCUCACAGCUGGAAAUAGGGGCGGAAUUAUCUGUGGGAUCGAUGCUCGGAGUCCCGGCCGGUGCAUCUAGAUAAGGGAUCGAGUAGGAAUGGUUUCGUCUGCGUUCCUCGCAUCCUGCUUUAAACCUAACGCUGACUAUGCGUCGUAGAUUCACUUUCAUAAACAUUCUCGGACCGGGGUCCAAUUCCCCGCACCUCCACUC